RNAcentral lists this ribosomal RNA (497 nucleotides) under uncultured bacterium. Its description in RNAcentral is "partial 16S ribosomal RNA". It matches the Rfam family "Bacterial small subunit ribosomal RNA", at positions 28 to 507 of the family's 1533-position model. The record is from RNAcentral.
GAUGAACGCUGGCGGCGUGCCUAAUACAUGCAAGUCGAGCGAACGGACGAGAAGCUUGCUUCUCUGAUGUUAGCGGCGGACGGGUGAGUAACACGUGGAUAACCUACCUAUAAGACUGGGAUAACUUCGGGAAACCGGAGCUAAUACCGGAUAAUCUUUUGAACCGCAUGGUUCAAAAGUGAAAUACGGUCUUGCUGUCACUUAUAGAUGGAUCCGCGCUGCAUUAUCUAGUUGGUAAGGUAACGGCUUACCACGGCAACGAUGCAUAGACGACCUAAGAGGGUGAUAGGCCACACGGGAGCGGAGACACGGUCAAGAGGACUACGGGAGGCAGCAGUAGCGUAUGUGACGCAGUGGGCGAAAGCCUGACGGAGUAACGGCGCGCGAGAGAUGGAGGUCUUGCGAGCGGAAAACUCUGUUAUGAGGGAAGAACAUAUGUGUAAGUAACUGUGCACAGCUUGACGGUACCUAAUCAGAAAGCCACGGCUAACUACGUG